This 468-nucleotide long non-coding RNA is filed under the name Gallus gallus (chicken). Lineage: Eukaryota; Metazoa; Chordata; Aves; Galliformes; Phasianidae. The record is from RNAcentral.
GUGCAGAGAGAGCUGAACCAAUCCAUCCCUGGAACCAAUGUACAAUUGUUGCUGCUUCUGAGAAAUCUCCAUGGUUGAAAUAAAUGAAGGGUGCUUGAAUAUCUGUAGCUCUUCCAGGACUACCUCCUCCUUAGUCCACUUCUCCUUGGUGAUACUCACAGCUUUCAGUACUGUGCCUAUGUCUGUUCCUAGGAAAAUAACAUCAUAUUGCCCGUCCUCUGCCAUGACAUGAUCCACCACAAUCUGAGUCAGCCGAUAGUCCACAUUGAUUCGCGUGAACACUGGUCCUCCCGUCAGUGGGUAAACGGAUUUGUACAUCAGGGGAUGGCGCUUUAUAAAGCUAAUGACUUCAUCGGGAAAAUCUCUGGUAGAUUUUAUGAGUGGAUCAUAGGUUUUGCUUGGGCACUGAAAGAAAGAAGGAGACCAAGAAGUUGGGAAGAAUAGUAGGGAAAAAAGACAAUAAAUCUG